Molecule: transfer RNA, 65 nt
Filed under: Marmota monax (woodchuck)
Lineage: Eukaryota; Metazoa; Chordata; Mammalia; Rodentia; Sciuridae
Description: tRNA.Undet
Rfam family: tRNA
About the family: Transfer RNA (tRNA) molecules are approximately 80 nucleotides in length. Their secondary structure includes four short double-helical elements and three loops (D, anti-codon, and T loops).
Source: RNAcentral
GGUGUAGCUCAGUGGUAGAGUACCCGGUUAGCAAGCACAAGGCCUGGGUUCAAUCCCCAGCACCA